GAGGAAUAUUGGUCAAUGGACGAGAGUCUGAACCAGCCAAGUAGCGUGAAGGAUGACUGCCCUAUGGGUUGUAAACUUCUUUUAUACGGGAAUAAAGUGAGGUACGUGUGCCUUUUUGUAUGUACCGUAUGAAUAAGGAUCGGCUAACUCCGUGCCAGCAGCCGCGGUAAUACGGAGGAUCCGAGCGUUAUCCGGAUUUAUUGGGUUUAAAGGGAGCGUAGGCGGACGCUUAAGUCAGUUGUGAAAGUUUGCGGCUCAACCGUAAAAUUGCAGUUGAUACUGGGUGUCUUGAGUACAGUAGAGGCAGGCGGAAUUCGUGGUGUAGCGGUGAAAUGCUUAGAUAUCACGAAGAACUCCGAUUGCGAAGGCAGCCUGCUGGACUGUAACUGACGCUGAUGCUCGAAAGUGUGGGUAUCAAACAGGAUUAGAUACCCUGGUAGUCCACACAGUAAACGAUGAAUACUCGCUGUUUGCGAUAUACAGUAAGCGGCCAAGCGAAAGCGUUAAGUAUUCCACCUGGGGAGUACGCCGGCAACGGUGAAACUCAAAGGAAUUGACGGGGGCCCGCACAAGCGGAGGAACAUGUGGUUUAAUUCGAUGAUACGCGAGGAACCUUACCCGGGCUUGAAUUGCAACUGAAUGAUGUGGAGACAUGUCAGCCGCAAGGCAGUUGUGAAGGUGCUGCAUGGUUGUCGUCAGCUCGUGCCGUGAGGUGUCGGCUUAAGUGCCAUAACGAGCGCAACCCUUAUCGAUAGUUACCAUCAGGUUAUGCUGGGGACUCUGUCGAGACUGCCGUCGUAAGAUGUGAGGAAGGUGGGGAUAACGUCAAAUCAGCACGGCCCUUACGUCCGGGGCUACACACGUGUUACAAUGGGGGGUACAGAAGGCAGCUACACGGCGACGUGAUGCUAAUCCCGAAAGCCUCUCUCAGUUCGGAUUGGAGUCUGCAACCCGACUCCAUGAAGCUGGAUUCGCUAGUAAUCGCGCAUCAGCCACGGCGCGGUGAAUACGUUCCCG
RNAcentral lists this ribosomal RNA (1017 nucleotides) under uncultured organism. RNAcentral describes it as "bacterial SSU rRNA". It matches the Rfam family "Bacterial small subunit ribosomal RNA", at positions 356 to 1376 of the family's 1533-position model. The record is from RNAcentral.